UGGUGGGUUGCCUUGUCAGGUUGAUUCCGGUAACGAACGAGACCUCCGCCUGCUAAAUAGUCACGGUUGGGUUUCCAGCCGGCGGACUUCUUAGAGGGACUAUUGGCGAUUAGCCAGUGGAAGUUGGAGGCAAUAACA
This 138-nucleotide ribosomal RNA is filed under the name uncultured eukaryote. RNAcentral describes it as "partial 18S ribosomal RNA". It matches the Rfam family "Eukaryotic small subunit ribosomal RNA", at positions 1299 to 1458 of the family's 1831-position model. The record is from RNAcentral.